GCCGACGUAGCUCAGCUGGUAGAGCACUUCACUCGUAAUGAAGGGGUCGGGAGUUCGAGUCUCCCCGUCGGCU
This 73-nucleotide transfer RNA is filed under the name Actinomycetes bacterium. RNAcentral's name for it is "Actinobacteria bacterium tRNA-Thr". It matches the Rfam family "tRNA". From Rfam's summary of the family: Transfer RNA (tRNA) molecules are approximately 80 nucleotides in length. Their secondary structure includes four short double-helical elements and three loops (D, anti-codon, and T loops). Further hydrogen bonds mediate the characteristic L-shaped molecular structure. tRNAs have two regions of fundamental functional importance: the anti-codon, which is responsible for specific mRNA codon recognition, and the 3' end, to which the tRNAs corresponding amino acid is attached (by aminoacyl-tRNA synthetases). tRNAs cope with the degeneracy of the genetic code in two manners: having more than one tRNA (with a specific anti-codon) for a particular amino acid; and 'wobble' base-pairing, i.e. permitting non-standard base-pairing at the 3rd anti-codon position. RNAcentral also lists the same sequence under 11 other names. Lineage: Bacteria; Bacillati; Actinomycetota; Actinomycetes. The record is from RNAcentral.